RNAcentral lists this ribosomal RNA (451 nucleotides) under uncultured bacterium. RNAcentral's name for it is "partial 16S ribosomal RNA". It matches the Rfam family "Bacterial small subunit ribosomal RNA", at positions 354 to 796 of the family's 1533-position model. The record is from RNAcentral.
GUGGGGAAUAUUGGACAAUGGGGGGAACCCUGAUCCAGCCAUGCCGCGUGUGUGAAGAAGGCCUUUUGGUUGUAAAGCACUUUAAGCGAGGAGGAGGCUACCGAGAUUAAUACUCUUGGAUAGUGGACGUUACUCGCAGAAUAAGCACCGGCUAACUCUGUGCCAGCAGCCGCGGUAAUACAGAGGGUGCAAGCGUUAAUCGGAUUUACUGGGCGUAAAGCGCGCGUAGGUGGCCAAUUAAGUCAAAUGUGAAAGCCCCGAGCUUAACUUGGGAAUUGCAUUCGAUACUGGUCGGCGAGAGUAUGGGAGAGGAUGGUAGAAUUCCAGGUGUAGCGGUGAAAUGCGUAGAGAUCUGGAGGAAUACCGAUGGCGAAGGCAGCCAUCUGGCCUAAUACUGACACUGAGGUGCGAAAGCAUGGGGAGCAAACAGGAUUAGAAACCCCAGUAGUCC